This 508-nucleotide ribosomal RNA is filed under the name uncultured bacterium. RNAcentral describes it as "partial 16S ribosomal RNA". It matches the Rfam family "Bacterial small subunit ribosomal RNA", at positions 29 to 523 of the family's 1533-position model. The record is from RNAcentral.
AACGAACGCUGGCGGCAGGCCUAACACAUGCAAGUCGAGCGGCAGCGGGAAAGUAGCUUGCUACUUUUGCCGGCGAGCGGCGGACGGGUGAGUAAUGCCUGGGGAUCUGCCCAGUCGAGGGGGAUAACUACUGGAAACGGUAGCUAAUACCGCAUACGUCCUACGGGGGAAAGCAGGGGACCUUCGGGCCUUGCGCGAUUGGAUGAACCCAGGUGGGAUUAGCUAGUUGGUGAGGUAAUGGCUCACCAAGGCGACGAUCCCUAGCAGGUCUGAGAGAAUUAUCAGCCACACUGGAACUGCGACACGGUCCAGACUCCUACGGGAGGCAGCAGUGGGGAAUAUUGCACAAUGGGGGAAACCCUGAUGCAGCCAUGCCGCGUGUGUGAAGAAGGCCUUCGGGUUGUAAAGCACUUUCAGCGAGGAGGAAAGGUUGGUAGCUAAUAACUGCCAGCUGUGACGUUACUCGCAGAAGAAGCACCGGCUAACUCCGUGCCAGCAGCCGCCGCGG